Molecule: ribosomal RNA, 1026 nt
Filed under: Triticum aestivum (bread wheat)
Lineage: Eukaryota; Viridiplantae; Streptophyta; Magnoliopsida; Poales; Poaceae
Description: partial small subunit ribosomal RNA
Source: RNAcentral
AUGUCGACGGUGCUUAAUGUGGCGGCUGCGGCGGCGGAAGGGGAGACCGACCAGGUGGUGACACCGUGGGAGGUGACCGGCGCGGCACAAGGAGGAGUCAACUACGACAAGCUGGUGGACCAAUUUGGGUGCCAACGCAUAGACACCGCGUCGCGCACCUCACGUCCAGACCACCACAUCACUUCCUCCGCCGCGGGAUCUUCUUUGCCCACCGUGAUACAGUUAACUGAUGACGAGAAGUUCCUCUGGAAGGACUUGUCUAUUGCGGAAUCUAAACGGCUUGCCCGUGAAAAUGCCAAAGACAUCAUAGCAUGUGGGUUUGACGUUGAAAGAACUUUCAUUUUCUCAGAUUUUCAAUAUGUUGGAGGUCCCUUCUAUGAAAAUAUGAUGCAAGUUGCAAAGCGUGUGACAUUUAAUACUAUUAGAGGCACAUUCGGAUUUACUCCAGAAGAUCACAUAGGAAAGUGUUGCUUUCCUCCUGUGCAGGCUGCUCCAUCGUUUGCUUCGUCAUUUCCCCAUCUCUUUGGGGGCAAUGACCAGCUGCGGUGCCUUAUUCCAUGUGCAAUAGACCAGGAUCCUUAUUUUAGGUUGACUCGUGAUGUUGCUCCUAAAAUGGGUUAUCUGAAACCUUCACUUAUUGAAUCAAAGUUUUUCCCUGCUCUCCAGGGGGAGUGUGGUAAAAUGUCUGCCAAUGACCCGAAUAGUGCAGUAUAUCUGACAGAUAAAUCUGAUAUAAUUAAAGAAAAGAUUAGGAAGUAUGCUUUCUCUGGUGGCCAGUCCACGACAGAGCUCCAAAGGAAAUAUGGAGCGAACGUCGAUGUUGAUGUCUGUAUCAAGUAUUUAAAUUUCUUCCUUGAAGAUGAUGCUGAGUUUGAGCACAUAAAGAAGGAAUACAAAGCCGGGAAUAUGCUAACAGGUGAAUUGAAAGACCGUGUCGUUGGCGUUCUAUCGAAGAUAGCAUUAGCACAUCAGAAUGCUAGAGCUCAAGUGACUGAGGAGAUGGUUGAUGCAUACAUGUCUGGGUAG